CUACCAUGCUGGAACAGAUGCAGCUUGAGAGUAAUAUAGAGGUUCAGAAUCCAAAGAAGAGAAAGAGGAACUAGAAAAUGCAGGAAGUUGACAGACAUAAUCCUUAAGAUAAGAAGGAGGAUUAUGCUGUCUUUGAGAUUUUCUGGGAGCAAGAACAGAUGGGGAAGAGGCCAAAGCAGGAGGAGAGAUAUCAGGAUUGAAAGAAGGAAUGAAAGCAGAAUCAGUAGAAUCUGGAGCAAUAUGAUGAAGUGCUUGAACAGAUAUAGGAGGAAGAGGAGAUGAGAUAGGAAUGGAAGGGUCUGGAUCAGUGGAAUGUUCUACAGGUGGAACAAAAGGAGAGGAUGAAGGAGAAGGAUGAAUGUAGGAGGAAGAGGAGAGGAGAUAGGAAUGGAAGGGUCUGGAUCAGUGGAAUGUUCUAAAGGUGGAACAAAAGGAAAGGAUGGAGGAGAAGGAUGAACAGAAGAGGGUGUAGUUUUAAUAGGAAAACACGUUUCAUGGAAUAUAACAUCCCUGGAAACAAAACAUUUCUUGGAAGCAAGAUCAUACAAUUUA
Molecule: long non-coding RNA, 552 nt
Filed under: Nicotiana benthamiana
Lineage: Eukaryota; Viridiplantae; Streptophyta; Magnoliopsida; Solanales; Solanaceae
Description: long non-coding RNA (NBEN_LNC016723)
Source: RNAcentral